AGCGAACGCUGGCGGCAGGCCUAACACAUGCAAGUCGAACGAACUCUUCGGAGUUAGUGGCGGACGGGUGAGUAACACGUGGGAACGUGCCUUUAGGUUCGGAAUAACUCAGGGAAACUUGUGCUAACACCGAAUGUGCCCUUCGGGGGAAAGAUUUAUCGCCUUUAGAGCGGCCCGCGUCUGAUUAGCUAGUUGGUGAGGUAAAGGCUCACCAAGGCGACGAUCAGUAGCUGGUCGGGGAGGAUGAUCAGCCACAUUGGGACUGAGACACGGACCAAACUCCUACGGGAGGCAGCAGUGGGGAAUCUUGCGCAAUGGGCGAAAGCCUGACGCAGCCAUGCCGCGUGAAUGAUGAAGGUCUUAGGAUUGUAAAAUUCUUUCACCGGGGACGAUAAUGACGGUACCCGGAGAAGAAGCCCCGGCUAACUUCGUGCCAGCCGCCGCCGUAA
This 449-nucleotide ribosomal RNA is filed under the name uncultured bacterium. Its description in RNAcentral is "partial 16S ribosomal RNA". It matches the Rfam family "Bacterial small subunit ribosomal RNA", at positions 29 to 523 of the family's 1533-position model. The record is from RNAcentral.